GAUGAACGCUGGCGGCGUGCCUAAUACAUGCAAGUCGAGCGAACAGACGAGGAGCUUGCUCCUUCGACGUUAGCGGCGGACGGGUGAGUAACACGUAGGUAACCUACCUAUAAGACUGGGAUAACUUCGGGAAACCGGAGCUAAUACCGGAUAAUAUUUCGAACCGCAUGGUUCGAUAGUGAAAGAUGGCUUUGCUAUCACUUAUAGAUGGACCUGCGCCGUAUUAGCUAGUUGGUAAGGUAACGGCUUACCAAGGCAACGAUACGUAGCCGACCUGAGAGGGGGACCGGCCACACGGGAACUGAGACACGGGCCAGACUCCCACGGGGGGCAGGAGUAGGGAAUCUGCCGAAAUGGGGGAAAGCCUGAGGGGGCAACGCCGGGGGAGUGAGGAAGGUCUGCGGUUCGUAAAACUUUUUUAUUAGGGAAAAAAAAACGGGUAAAUAACUGUGCACGUCUUGACGGUACCAAAUCAAAAAGCCCCGGCUAACUACGU
Molecule: ribosomal RNA, 496 nt
Filed under: uncultured bacterium
Lineage: Bacteria
Description: partial 16S ribosomal RNA
Rfam family: Bacterial small subunit ribosomal RNA
Source: RNAcentral